CCGCCAAACCACCACCGACAAGCUUGAAGAAGCUGACCACCGCCUCUCAGAGAGCCACACUUCCCUUUCCCAGGGUCACCAGUCCCUCAAUUCCAAAAUUGACACUAUACACUCCUCUCUCACAGCCCAAAUCGAAUCCCUCUUCGAUCGCCUUGCCGCCAUUACCCUGCAACCUAACAACUCCCCUUCCCCAACCAAUCCCACACACAUACCUCUUUCCCCUGCCUCUCGCCAUCAUCACCUGAAGCUGGACGUCCCAUGCUUCGACGGCCAUGACCCACUGGGCUGGAUAUUCAAAAUAUCCCAGUUCUUCGAUUAC
Molecule: unclassified non-coding RNA, 319 nt
Filed under: uncultured bacterium
Lineage: Bacteria
Description: contains 16S-23S intergenic spacer region
Source: RNAcentral